Meleagris gallopavo (turkey) is the source of this 994-nucleotide non-coding RNA. The record is from RefSeq and is a predicted model, not a curated record. NCBI's taxonomy places the organism in Eukaryota, Metazoa, Chordata, Aves, Galliformes, Phasianidae.
UAUGCUUUAAAUGUGUGCGUUGGGGAGGGAAUACAGGUUGUGACAAACUUUCCUUAUGACUAAAUUAGUAUUUCUUAGGCUGUUAGCUAUAUUUUCCCAAAUGCCUUUCUUUCCCCUCGGUGCAAACAGACUCAAAUAGAGCUACACCAAAAUAACAGGAGUGCCCAGUGUUGAGCAAGCUUACAUGUUUAAAAAGGUCCAAGUUCUGAAUUGAUAGAUUUAAACCUUCAGCACCUCAGGCUGGAUGCACUUGGGGUGUAUCUCUGUGCAGUGAUGCUGCUGCAGUUACACGUGUGGUGAGUGGGGCAGAGCCUCCUGCUGCUCGAGGAAGUGGGAGUGGGAGAGUUCUUUCACUGUUGUAAGAAAAUGGGAAUAACAUUUUGUGGUGAAAUGUAUGGCAUUUUAUCUGGUGACAGGCUCUGUGUUCUGUCACAGACUAUAGCUGCUAUUUUAAAAAAAAUGGACCAAAAGGAAAACUUUUACAGACCAACGCUGAAUUUUUUUGAGGAGGUGUUCAUUCCAAUUUUUCCUUAGGAAGAAGAGGGAUAUUCCAAGUUCACCGUGAGGGCUCUCCUGUGCAGAAUGUGGGCAAAGCGCCCCAUGCCUCUGCUUCCUGGGGCCAAGCUGCUCUUCUGGCAGGAGGCUCAGAAUAAGUGGUUGCAAGGAAGGCAAGAACCUAACUCACACCGAGGAUAGAUUGAAAAUAACAACUUGUCAGUCGCACACAGCCUGCACACAAACAGAGCAGCUGCUAAGCUGGAAAAGUCAUUGCACAAACAAAUGGAGCCCAAAAUGAUGGUUUUAAGGUCUCAGCAGUACUCAGUGCAAAAAUGUACAAGAAGAGGUAGUGUGUGCUGUGAAGGCUGUGACUGAACAACACAAAAGGAAACCCUCAGCCACAAACAAGGACAGAAAGAUGCCAGGGCAGACGUUGGACAGCAUGGCCUUCAUUCUCCUUCAUUUCAGCAUGGCAACGCUCUCCUGGGCAGCCCAG